This 404-nucleotide ribosomal RNA is filed under the name Fusobacteriota bacterium. Its description in RNAcentral is "Fusobacteria bacterium partial 16S ribosomal RNA". It matches the Rfam family "Bacterial small subunit ribosomal RNA", at positions 355 to 776 of the family's 1533-position model. The record is from RNAcentral. Lineage: Bacteria; Fusobacteriati; Fusobacteriota.
UGGGGAAUAUUGCACAAUGGAGGGAACUCUGAUGCAGCGACGCCGCGUGAGUGAUGAAGGAAUUCGUUUCGUAAAACUCUGUUCUAUGGGAAGAAAAGGACUGUACCAUAGGAGAAAGCUCAGGCUAAAUACGUGCCAGCAGCCGCGGUAAUACGUAUGGAGCGAGCGUUGUCCGGAAUUAUUGGGCGUAAAGGGUGCGCAGGCGGCUUUACAAGUUGGAUGUGAAAUAUUGUGGCACAACCACAAACGUGCAUCCAAAACUGCAAAGCUUGAGUUAAGGAGAGGUAAGUGGAAUUCCUGGUGUAGCGGUGGAAUGCGUAGAUAUCAGGAGGAAUACCGGUGGCGAAGGCGACUUACUGGACUUAAACUGACGCUCAGGCACGAAAGCGUGGGGAGCAAACAGG